RNAcentral lists this long non-coding RNA (257 nucleotides) under Salvia miltiorrhiza (redroot sage). RNAcentral's name for it is "long non-coding RNA (SMIL_LNC012608)". Lineage: Eukaryota; Viridiplantae; Streptophyta; Magnoliopsida; Lamiales; Lamiaceae. The record is from RNAcentral.
CAAAAAUAAUUACUUGAGAAAAUAACUAAAAAUAAAUGUUCUUAUAAAUACAAAUAAACAUUAUACUAAAUAAAUGUAAUAAUUCAGAAAUAUUAAAUUUGUUCGUAUCAAUGAUUACUUUAUCAAAUAAGUCGAACAAUAAUCAAUAAAAUAAAAAAUAUUAUAAAAAGAAACAGUAAAAAAUGAAAAGAAAGAAAAAGAAAUAUAAAAAAACCCAAAUUUUUAAUUUUUAAUAAACAGUAGAAACACAAAGAAAG